This 484-nucleotide ribosomal RNA is filed under the name uncultured bacterium. RNAcentral's name for it is "partial 16S ribosomal RNA". It matches the Rfam family "Bacterial small subunit ribosomal RNA", at positions 30 to 507 of the family's 1533-position model. The record is from RNAcentral.
AUUGAACGCUGGCGGCAGGCCUAACACAUGCAAGUCGAGCGGAUGAAGGGAGCUUGCUCCUGGAUUCAGCGGCGGACGGGUGAGUAAUGCCUAGGAAUCUGCCUGGUAGUGGGGGAUAACGUCCGGAAACGGGCGCUAAUACCGCAUACGUCCUGAGGGAGAAAGUGGGGGAUCUUCGGACCUCACGCUAUCAGAUGAGCCUAGGUCGGAUUAGCUAGUUGGUGGGGUAAAGGCCUACCAAGGCGACGAUCCGUAACUGGUCUGGAAGGAUGAUCAGUCACACUGGAACUGAGACACGGUCCAGACUCCUACGGGAGGCAGCAGUGGGGAAUAUUGGACAAUGGGCGAAAGCCUGAUCCAGCCAUGCCGCGUGUGUGAAGAAGGUCUUCGGAUUGUAAAGCACUUUAAGUUGGGAGGAAGGGCAGUAAGUUAAUACCUUGCUGUUUUGACGUUACCAACAGAAUAAGCACCGGCUAACUUCGUG